CAGGCCUAACACAUGCAAGUCGAGCGGUAACAUUUCUAGCUUGCUAGAAGAUGACGAGCGGCGGACGGGUGAGUAAUGCUUGGGAACAUGCCUUUAGGUGGGGGACAACCAUUGGAAACGAUGGCUAAUACCGCAUAAUGUCUACGGACCAAAGGGGGCUUCGGCUCUCGCCUUUAGAUUGGCCCAAAUGGGAUUAGCUAGUUGGUGAGGUAAUGGCUCACCAAGGCGACGAUCCCUAGCUGGUUUGAGAGGAUGAUCAGCCACACUGGAACUGAGACACGGUCCAGACUCCUACGGGAGGCAGCAGUGGGGAAUAUUGCACAAUGGGCGCAAGCCUGAUGCAGCCAUGCCGCGUGUGUGAAGAAGGCCUUCGGGUUGUAAAGCACUUUCAGUUGUGAGGAAAGGUUAGUAGUUAAUACCUGCUAGCUGUGACGUUAGCAACAGAAGAAGCACCGGCUAACUCCGUGCCAGCAGCCGCGGUAAUACGGAGGGUGCGAGCGUUAAUCGGAAUUACUGGGCGUAAAGCGUACGCAGGCGGUUUGUUAAGCGAGAUGUGAAAGCCCCGGGCUCAACCUGGGAACUGCAUUUCGAACUGGCAAACUAGAGUGUGAUAGAGGGUGGUAGAAUUUCAGGUGUAGCGGUGAAAUGCGUAGAGAUCUGAAGGAAUACCGAUGGCGAAGGCAGCCACCUGGGUCAACACUGACGCUCAUGUACGAAAGCGUGGGGAGC
Molecule: ribosomal RNA, 729 nt
Filed under: uncultured bacterium
Lineage: Bacteria
Description: bacterial SSU rRNA
Rfam family: Bacterial small subunit ribosomal RNA
Source: RNAcentral